AUGGUCAGCUUGGUUCCCUGGCUGGUUGCCGCGGCAUCAGCACCUGCAUCCUGGAAAUUCAUCCCACCAAAUGCACUGGAUAUGUCAUCCAUUGAGGACUCCACUGAAGAGACGCUGCCACAAUCUGCAGAAUUGCGACAUUGUUCGCCGACGAUCAAAAAUUCUGUUUCUGGAAUUCAUUCAAUGUGGUGGAAACUGAAACUGGAAAGAAACAAUGGAUUUCAGGAAGAGAAAUUCACCUUUAGACAUGUUGCAUUCGUAUUUUGGACCCAGCUCCUCGGAGAUAUCAGACCUGUCGCAGGCACCAGAGUCCUCCUCCUCUGCUUCUUGUUGAUCGACCCAAGAAGCCUCCCCCUCUUGUUGACCAAUCUGCUCCUUGCGUCCGGGAGAGGGAGGGGGAGAGCUCGCCGUGCCCGGCAGGUCGGCGAAGCCGUCCGAGAUGACGUCGCUGGACCCGCAGGAGCCGUCCACCGAGGCGCCCGGGUCGGCCCACUCGUGGGUCAUCCCGCACCGGAGACCCCGGCGGCCGAAGUUGACGUAGGGAGACUCCGCCUCCUCGGCGGAGAGGCCGCUGCAGCAGGAGCCCGAGCUCGCCGUCUUGGGGCGGGCGCCGGCGCCGGCGCCGGGACACGCCACCUGGACGAAGAACCCGUCGUCCCCUUUGCCGGCGGCAUUGCUGGUGCUUGUAUUCUUGGUCUUGGGGUCGCGGAAGGCGGAGACGCCCCGGUGCUUCAUGCUCUGCUCCGUCUUGAUGAGGCGCCUCCGGGACGCCAGGAAGGCCCCCAGCGGCGGCGCCGCGGGCGCGUGGCCCUUGAAGGUGCAGUAGGCGUACCGGCACGCGCGGUGCCCCUCGCCGCCGCACCCGCCGGCCCCGCCUCCGCGGGCGCUCUUCUGCGCGGAGGAGCACGUGGCCCUGGCCGCGCGCGGCGUACUCGCAACGAGGGCCGCCGCCUUGGCCCCCACCGGCUGCGCGGCGGGAGCGGAGGCCGCCGAAACAGCCGCAGAUGCAACCUCCCGGCCGGCCCUGGCGCCGGAGCUGCUGGUCGGCCUCAUGUACCCGGGGUCCGACGCCGCGGGCGCGGCCCCGCCCCCGGCGCGCGCGCGACCGGCCGUCCCGGGGACGGCGGCGGCAUCUUGGGGCCUCCUGCGCGGCUGCUUGCAGUGCACCAUGGCGGGCGGCGGCGGCGGCCAAGAAAGGAAAGAAAGGUGGAGAUUGGGGUUGGUUCGGGGUUGUGA
Molecule: ribosomal RNA, 1236 nt
Filed under: Triticum aestivum (bread wheat)
Lineage: Eukaryota; Viridiplantae; Streptophyta; Magnoliopsida; Poales; Poaceae
Description: partial small subunit ribosomal RNA
Source: RNAcentral